GACGAACGCUGGCGGCGUGCUUAACACAUGCAAGUCGAACGGAAAGGCCCUGCUUUUGUGGGGUGCUCGAGUGGCGAACGGGUGAGUAACACGUGAGUAACCUGCCCUUGACUUUGGGAUAACUUCAGGAAACUGGGGCUAAUACCGGAUAGGAGCUCCCGCUGCAUGGUGGGGGUUGGAAAGUUUCGGCGGUUGGGGAUGGACUCGCGGCUUAUCAGCUUGUUGGUGGGGUAGUGGCUUACCAAGGCUUUGACGGGUAGCCGGCCUGAGAGGGUGACCGGGCACAUUGGGACUGGGAGAGGACCCAGAGUCCAACGGGAGGCAGCAGUGGAGAAUAUUGCACACUGGGCGGAAGCCUGAUGCAGCAACGCCGCGUGCGGGAUGACGGCCUUCGGGUUGUAAACCGCUUUCGCCUGUGACGAAGCGUGAGUGACGGUAAUGGGUAAAGAAGCACCGGCUAACUACGUG
RNAcentral lists this ribosomal RNA (468 nucleotides) under uncultured bacterium. Its description in RNAcentral is "partial 16S ribosomal RNA". It matches the Rfam family "Bacterial small subunit ribosomal RNA", at positions 28 to 507 of the family's 1533-position model. The record is from RNAcentral.